RNAcentral lists this ribosomal RNA (1308 nucleotides) under Triticum aestivum (bread wheat). RNAcentral's name for it is "partial small subunit ribosomal RNA". The record is from RNAcentral. Lineage: Eukaryota; Viridiplantae; Streptophyta; Magnoliopsida; Poales; Poaceae.
AUGGCUUCGGCGGCGGCGGCGACUCAAGUGGGCACUUACUUCCUCCGCAACUACUACAAUCUGUUGCAGCAGAACCCCGAUGUCGUCCACCAGUUCUACAGCGAAGCAAGCACCAUGGUCCGCGUCGACGACCUCAACGGGACCAACACCACUGCUAACUCAAUGAUGGAUAUACACUCCCUUAUCAUGUCCCUCAAUUUCACCCAAAUCGAGAUAAAAACUGCCAACUUUGCCAACUCAUGGGGAGAUGGGGUGCUAGUGAUGGUCUCUGGUCUUGUACAGACCAAAGAGUACAGCAACCAAAGGAAAUUUAUCCAGAUGUUUUUCCUUGCGCCUCAGGAGAAAGGUUAUUUUGUGCUCAAUGAUUAUUUCCACUUUGUUGACCAAGAACAAGUGCAACCUGCACAGGUGAGAGCUCACGAAGCCUUUGAGACUAACAUGGCAUCCAACACAGUCCAAACAAGUGCAGAGUACAUUCAUGAAGAAAGUCGAACAAUGCAAGCUGUUCCAGUAACAUCUGAAGAAAAUGAUGCUGUUGACAGUUACACUUACUCUGAGCCACCACUGCAAGUAGUUUCUCAGUCGGACAACUGGGGAGAUGAAUCUCUUCAAGAGGAAGCACUUUCUUCCUUCUCGAAUGGAAUGGCGAUGGCACCAGAGGAGCCAGCACAACCUCCGCCUGUGCAGCCUCAUGUUGAGGAACCUGUUGGGGAGCCCGUAAAGAAGACAUAUGCUUCUAUUCUAAGAACCGCAAAAGCCCCACCUCCGUUCCCUUUUGCUCAAUCAGCGCCUGUGAAUAAACCUCACCCUACAACAGAAGCAAGCCAGGCAACUCUAGGGACUUCAUCGGUGGCAGCAGAUAAGCCAAAAUCUGACUUCUACGCAGAAGGCCAUGAUGAAGAAGAGAGCAAAUCUGUUUAUGUUGGGAAUGUGCCGCAAAAUGUAACUGAGGCUGAUCUUGAGAAUGAGUUCAAGAAGUUUGGCCAGCUCAUCCCUGAUGGUGUUGCUAUCAGAAGCCGAAAGGAGACUGGUGGCUACUAUGCUUUUGUGGAAUUCGAGGAACUGAGUGGCGUUCACAAUGCAUUGAGGGCUUCACCACUUGAAAUAAAUGGGCGGCAGAUAUAUGUCGAGGAGCGGAAGCCUAACAGUGGAAUAAGGGGAGGAAGAAGGGGGGGAGGCAGAGGUCGCUUUGGCGGCAGUGGCAGAGGAUAUGCGAGAGGUGACGAGUACAGCGGUAGCCGUGGAAAGUCGAAUGGUUAUCAGCGUGUCCCUCACCACGAGAGGGGCAUUUUGGGGGCAAGGAACUGA